ACCUCAGUAACGGCGAGUGAAGCGGUAACAGCUCAAAUUUGAAAUCUGGGUCUUUCAGGCUCCGAGUUGUAAUUUGUAGAAGAUGCUUCGGGUGCGGCUCCGGUCUAAGUUCCUUGGAACAGGACGUCAUAGAGGGUGAGAAUCCCGUAUGUGAUCGGUUGCUUGCGCCCAUGUGAAGCUCUUUCGACGAGUCGAGUUGUUUGGGAAUGCAGCUCCAAAUGGGUGGUAUAUUUCAUCUAAAGCUAAAUAUUGGCCAGAGACCGAUAGCGCACAAGUAGAGUGAUCGAAAGAUGAAAAGCACUUUGGAAAGAGAGUUAAACAGUACGUGAAAUUGUUGAAAGGGAAGCGCUUGCAACCAGACUUGCGUGUCGUCGAUCAUCCGGGGUUCUCCCCGGUGCACUCGGCUUCACUCAGGCCAGCAUCGGUUUCGGUGGUUGGAUAAAGGCCUUGGGAAUGUAGCUCCUCUCGGGGAGUGUUAUAGCCCUCGGUGCAAUGCAGCCUACCGGGACCGAGGACCGCGCUUCGGCUAGGAUGCUGGCGUAAUGGUUGUAAGCGACCCGUCUUGAAACACGGACCAAGGAGUCUAACAUCUAUGCGAGUGUUUGGGUGUCAAACCCAUACGCGUAAUGAAAGUGAACGGAGGUGAGAACCCUUAAGGGUGCAUCAUCGACCGAUCCUGAUGUCUUCGGAUGGAUUUGAGUAAGAGCAUAGCUGUUGGGACCCGAAAGAUGGUGAACUAUGCCUGAAUAGGGUGAAGCCAGAGGAAACUCUGGUGGAGGCUCGCAGCGGUUCUGACGUGCAAAUCGAUCGUCAAAUUUGGGUAUAGGGGCGAA
Molecule: ribosomal RNA, 833 nt
Filed under: Neofabraea perennans
Lineage: Eukaryota; Fungi; Ascomycota; Leotiomycetes; Helotiales; Dermateaceae
Description: eukaryotic LSU rRNA
Rfam family: Eukaryotic large subunit ribosomal RNA
Source: RNAcentral